Non-coding RNA from Phrynosoma platyrhinos (Desert horned lizard), 70 nucleotides. NCBI's taxonomy places the organism in Eukaryota, Metazoa, Chordata, Lepidosauria, Squamata, Phrynosomatidae. The record is from the annotation of a GenBank genome assembly.
GACAGUGGUGUAGUGGUUUGAGUGUUGGACUACAACUCUGGAAACCAUGGUUCGAAGCCUUGCUGUGCCA